RNAcentral lists this ribosomal RNA (849 nucleotides) under uncultured Fibrobacter sp. RNAcentral's name for it is "bacterial SSU rRNA". It matches the Rfam family "Bacterial small subunit ribosomal RNA", at positions 163 to 1017 of the family's 1533-position model. Lineage: Bacteria; Pseudomonadati; Fibrobacterota; Fibrobacteria; Fibrobacterales; Fibrobacteraceae. The record is from RNAcentral.
CUAAUGCCGGAUAUUGUAGUCUACUGCAUAGUAGGCCAACGAAAGAUUUAUUGCUGUGGGAUGAGCUUGCGUCCGAUUAGCUAGUUGGCGGGGUAAUAGCCCACCAAGGCGACGAUCGGUAGCCGGCCUGAAAGGGUGAUCGGCCACAUUGGGACUGAGAUACGGCCCAGACUCCUACGGGAGGCAGCAGUAGGGAAUAUUGCGCAAUGGGGGAACCCUGACGCAGCAACGCCACGUGUGGGGAGAAGCAUUUCGGUGUGUAAACCACUGUCGGAAAGGAAUAACGGAAGACUUCGGUCUUUAUGAAUGUACUUUUAGAGGAAGCACCGGCAAACUUCGUGCCAGCAGCCGCGGUAAUACGAGGGGUGCAAGCGUUGUUCGGAAUCACUGGGCGUAAAGGGAGCGUAGGCGGAAGUGCAAGCAAUCUGUAUAAUCCUGGGGCCCAACCCCAGUUCUGCAGAUUGGACUGUAUUUCUUGAAUAGUUCAGAGGCAAGCGGAAUUUCUGGUGUAGCGGUGGAAUGCGUAGAGAUCAGAAAGAACACCAAUGGCGAAGGCAGCUUGCUGGGGACUUAUUGACGCUGAGGCUCGAAAGUAUGGGUAGCAAACAGGAUUAGAUACCCUGGUAGUCCACACUGUAAACGAUGCAUACUGGGUGUCCGAAAUUCGUUUCGGGUACCGUAGCUAACGCGUUAAGUAUGCCGCCUGGGGAGUACGUACGCAAGUAUGAAACUCAAAGGAAUUGACGGGGGCCCGCACAAGCGGUGGAGCAUGUGGUUUAAUUCGAAGCAACGCGCAGAACCUUACCAGGGUUUGACAUGGGAUCGCCGCGGCGAGAGAUAAUCACUAGU